AUUUUCUUAUCGUUAACUCGGUUUUCCUGGGUCUUUCCACGUGUGUUAUGAAUAAAUCUUCUGUUUUUCAAUACCGGCACUAGUUUUAUUUUGUUGUAUUUAUCCGCAACACCUUAAAGGCCGGUCCGUGAAAAUAUUGUCGGGCAGUCGAUCGUGGCUCAAGAGUUGGGAGUUCGCCUUGUAAUCGGAAGGUUGCUGGUUCGAGCCCCGGCUUGGACAGUCUUGGUCGUUGUGUCCUUGGGCAAGACACUUCACCCGUUGCCUCUGUCAGUGCGCCCCAGGGUGGCUGUGGCUACAAUGUAGCUUGCCAUCACCAGUGUGUGAAUGUAUGUGUGAAUGGGUGGAUGACUGGAUGUGUAAAGCGCUUUGGGGUCCUUAGGGACUAGUAAAGCGCUAUAUAAAAUACAGGCCAUUUACCAUUUACCAUAAACUGGUGCGUGGCGCAAAAAAGGUUGGGGACCACUGCUCUAUGCUGUUGCAAGCUGGGGCAGCAGGUUGAGGGUCACAGAUGCCAACAGACUAAAUAAACUGAUCCACAAGGCCAGUAAUGUUGGACUCCGUUAGGGUGGUGUCUGAAGGCAGAUGUUGUUCAAGAUAAAGACAGUCAUGGAUAAUACUUCCCACCCACUCCAUGACACAGCUUCAGUGAGAGACUGAAGCUGUGUCCCAAAACGUCGGCAGCAUCCUCCGGAGGCCGCAUUUGAAGGCCGAUUACAUCACAGCCAGGCGACGAAGGCUGUCCCAAUUCGUCGACUCCUUCAAAUGCAGCUGACAAAUGCGUCUUUCAUUUCCCCGAAUUUGAAGGAUGGGUCGGAUGUGUGCUUCGUGGCAAACCAUAACCCAGAAUUCAUAGCGCGGCCCAGUCAAAUUUCAGCUGACAAUAAUGCGGCCAUGGCGGCCAUGGCGGCCGCUACUAAGUUUGAAAAUUACUCUUAUUAAUCUUUCUGGGCCACAAAAUAAACUUUUAACAUGUUUUAAGGCGAGAAAGUAGCUGUGUAAUUUACAAAUAUUACAAAUAGUACAUUUUGUACUCGUAGUCCCCCUUCUUCACACAUCCCCCUGGACUCAUGGGCGGGUGGUUUUAAGGACACGUUUUACGGACUCUGUACAUUCCAUGAAUGUGGACAAAAGUGAGUGUGAGCGGUCGGAAAUAGCCCUCCAGUAAACGAA
Molecule: long non-coding RNA, 1170 nt
Organism: Astatotilapia calliptera (eastern happy)
Lineage: Eukaryota; Metazoa; Chordata; Actinopteri; Cichliformes; Cichlidae
Source: Ensembl